Molecule: ribosomal RNA, 119 nt
Filed under: Pteropus alecto (black flying fox)
Lineage: Eukaryota; Metazoa; Chordata; Mammalia; Chiroptera; Pteropodidae
Source: RNAcentral
AUAUACGGCCAUGCUACCCUGAACAAGCCCAAUCCUGUCUGAUCUCGGAAGCUAAGCAAGGUAGGGCCUGGUUACAAAUUGGAUGGGAGACCACCUAGGAAGACCAGGUGCUAUAGGCA